This 429-nucleotide ribosomal RNA is filed under the name Triticum aestivum (bread wheat). RNAcentral's name for it is "partial small subunit ribosomal RNA". Lineage: Eukaryota; Viridiplantae; Streptophyta; Magnoliopsida; Poales; Poaceae. The record is from RNAcentral.
AUGAGGAGCAAAAUCAGUGUUGCCCUUCGAGCUUUAGACAGUAUCUUGGACAUCGUGCCGCCAUCCUUGAAGGCGCUUGCGGAUGCCUGCCAUCAAAAGGGAGGGAAAACAAUAUUUGAUCUGGGUGAGGAGCCUGGUGAUACAAAGGUUUUGAAGUUGCAGUGCUCUCCUGAUGCUAGUAACCUUUCCCACGGAAAGAAGCCGGUCCAUACAAAUGACAUAUCUUACAAGUUGCAGCAGGGGGGAAACAACCCCAACAACCGUCAGCGGAGUAAGCAUAGCCAAGCACUAAGCAAGGAAGCUAGCCGCGAUGAACGAGCGGUGGUUCCGGAUCGCCGCCGACUGGGACGGCCCAGAGGCCCUCGGUAUGUGAUGGUUUUCUUGUGCUUGCUCUUUGCUGCCUACGUAUGGACAACAGUCAAGUGGUAA